This is a non-coding RNA of Mus musculus (house mouse), 203 nucleotides long. The record is from the annotation of a RefSeq genome assembly. NCBI's taxonomy places the organism in Eukaryota, Metazoa, Chordata, Mammalia, Rodentia, Muridae.
AGUUCCACAAGGCUCCAGGAAAAGCCCUGGAGUGUGUCUCAUCCAUCAGUAAAUGUAGUAUUAACAUAAACUAUGCCAAUGGCCUGAAGGACAUAUUCACCAACAUAUUGUCUAGAGACUAUAACAGGAAAACCGUGUAUCUCUUACUGAUCAGCCUGAAGGCUGAGGACACGGUCAUGUGUUAUUUCCAAGAGACUCGGUGA